Non-coding RNA from Arvicanthis niloticus (Nile rat), 2006 nucleotides. Lineage: Eukaryota; Metazoa; Chordata; Mammalia; Rodentia; Muridae. The record is from RefSeq and is a predicted model, not a curated record.
GGCCUCAUCCAGGGAGGCCUACGCAGAGCCUGGUGCGCCCUCUAGGACUUUACCCAGAAGGCCGCGCUUCACUCAGGCCAACAUGGCUGGCAGGCCUGCUGGUAGGUGGCCGGGCCCGCUUUGGUGGAUAUCGCAGUUUUAUUUUUCCAGCAAUUUGCCCACCUUCUGUUGUAGCUGAGUCUUGCGCGGAAGGUUCGUGGCGGCCCAGUCCCACCCGAAGGACUGGUUUCUCUGUGCCAGGCCCAGCUUGAAGUUUGGAACGGGGACCUCUGUCGGAAGGAGCUGGCCAUGGCGGGACAGCGGUUUGAUCUCCUUCCCCUCCGCUUGGGGCGGUGAGGAGUUGCAGUGUCAAGCAAGUGGCUGGAUGGUUUUUGAAGUGCUAUUGUGGUGCUGCAGGAUUCAGCAGACAGCGAACUGGUUAAUGUGGGACGGCGGCACAGCACAGGAGACUGAAGAUGUGUAAGAGAGCCCUAGACCUGACCAUGAGGCAUCAGGUCGUGCCUGUGGAGCUGGGGACAAGCUAUGACGCAGUAGAGCAGGACAAAUUCUACCUUAAGCCCUAACUGAAAGAAAGGAGAGAGAAGAAUGGGCAAAAAGUGAUCUGUAGUUGAAAUCUGUGGACCUCAUCUCAAUGUAUUUUUAUGAAGUUGAUUCAAUCCGAUUCACAAUUUAAGAAUUAUCUGUCUACAGAUGCCUCACUUUAAAUAAAUGUCAAUUAUAACCAUUGUUGGGAUGUUUGCAUUCAAACUCUUUCUCUGAGAAUUGAAUUCACUUUUCUGACCAUUUCUUCCAGACUUUCUAAUAUAGUUUUAGUUGCAGAUCAGCUGCUUGGAGAUGAGAGAGGCUGCCUUAGUCAUUUCUUCAUUGGCUGGAGAUCAGCCAGGUUACUAAAGGACACAGCAUUCCCUACAAGCUGAAUGGCUGUAGGUUUGAGGAAGUCAUAGCAAGGCCUAACCUGCAGGUAGUAAUAGGGGAAGCGAGACCAGCUCUGAACAAGUAUCAUCUUCCAAAGUAACGAAUGGAAAGAAAGGAAAGUUGACUCUGCGUUCCCAGGACUGGGGAAUGGCCUCUCCCAACUCUCCCAACUGCUCUCUACCUAGAUUUAUUUUGCAUCCUGCCAUCCUGAAAUAAAAUUUGUAAGUAUCCUAAUCUGGAUUUACGUAACUUCUCUAUAUGUACAGGUACACGUGCCCCAGUGCUGAUCAAUAUAUAGGUUAGAAAAUUAAAAAGUAAAGUAUAGGAAUAUGAGGGAAAACACUAAGACAAACCAUACUUGCUUUUAAAUGCUUCUUUGAGAACUAGAACUGAGCUGGGCAGAGUGCACUCACCUUUAAUCCCAGCACUGAGGACACAGGCAAGCUUGAUCUACAUAGUGAGUUACAGAACUGUGAGGGCCAUGUAGACCCUGUCUCAACACAAAACCCCACAUACCUAGGUGCUAAUCAGCAGAGACUUUUCGAAUCAUAGGCUUAUUUAAAAAUACAUGUUAUUCUCCCUGCUGUGACUUUUGAGGCUCCUUGGUAGAAGUGAGUGAUGACCUGCAGUGGGCAAGGCAGUAAGAGGAACUCCUGCCCUGUGCACAGGAGCUUCCGAUGGUGAGCUACAGACAGCAAAGUUCCAUUACAGUGAAAGCCCACAGACUCACCCAAGUGUGCAUGUGCAUGUUACACUCCAUUCACAUACAAAAGAUGUUCAAAAAGACACUUCUGUUGACCUUUACAACAUGAUCCUAAUGUAUUUUAAAGUCAGAUGUUCUAGGUAGGCAUGGUGGCAUACUCUUGUAAUCCCAGCACUUGGGAGACAGAUGUCUGGCUUUUGAGUUUGAGAUCAGCCUGGGUUGUACAGUGAGACUAUUAAAAAAGAUUAAAUCUUAAAAGAUUGGAAAACAUUAGAAAGCUAAUUUACUUAAUUUCCAGAAAAAACUUUCCUCUGAUCCUCGGUUAUAUUUUGAAACCCAUCUUGAAAUUUAUUCUUUUCAGUUCUCCAGUGAGGUAGCACCUUCCUUU